UAUGUAGAGCAUCAUGUGGGUAC
RNAcentral lists this non-coding RNA (23 nucleotides) under Cricetulus griseus (Chinese hamster). Lineage: Eukaryota; Metazoa; Chordata; Mammalia; Rodentia; Cricetidae. The record is from RNAcentral.